This 877-nucleotide ribosomal RNA is filed under the name Salmonella enterica. RNAcentral describes it as "partial 23S ribosomal RNA". It matches the Rfam family "Bacterial large subunit ribosomal RNA", at positions 711 to 1586 of the family's 2925-position model. Lineage: Bacteria; Pseudomonadati; Pseudomonadota; Gammaproteobacteria; Enterobacterales; Enterobacteriaceae. The record is from RNAcentral.
AGACCCGAAACCCGGUGAUCUAGCCAUGGGCAGGUUGAAGGUUGGGUAACACUAACUGGAGGACCGAACCGACUAAUGUUGAAAAAUUAGCGGAUGACCUGUGGCUGGGGGUGAAAGGCCAAUCAAACCGGGAGAUAGCUGGUUCUCCCCGAAAGCUAUUUAGGUAGCGCCUCGUGAACUCAUCUCCGGGGGUAGAGCACUGUUUCGGCUAGGGGGCCAUCCCGGCUUACCAACCCGAUGCAAACUGCGAAUACCGGAGAAUGUUAUCACGGGAGACACACGGCGGGUGCUAACGUCCGUCGUGAAGAGGGAAACAACCCAGACCGCCAGCUAAGGUCCCAAAGUCAUGGUUAAGUGGGAAACGAUGUGGGAAGGCCCAGACAGCCAGGAUGUUGGCUUAGAAGCAGCCAUCAUUUAAAGAAAGCGUAAUAGCUCACUGGUCGAGUCGGCCUGCGCGGAAGAUGUAACGGGGCUAAACCAUGCACCGAAGCUGCGGCAGCGACACUUUAGUGUUGUUGGGUAGGGGAGCGUUCUGUAAGCCGUUGAAGGUGUCCUGUGAGGGGUGCUGGAGGUAUCAGAAGUGCGAAUGCUGACAUAAGUAACGAUAAAGCGGGUGAAAAGCCCGCUCGCCGGAAGACCAAGGGUUCCUGUCCAACGUUAAUCGGGGCAGGGUGAGUCGACCCCUAAGGCGAGGCCGAAAGGCGUAGUCGAUGGGAAACGGGUUAAUAUUCCCGUACUUGGUGUUACUGCGAAGGGGGGACGGAGAAGGCUAUGUUGGCCGGGCGACGGUUGUCCCGGUUUAAGCGUGUAGGUGUGUGUUCCAGGUAAAUCCGGUUCACUUUAACACUGAGGCGUGAUGACGAGGCACCACGGUGCU